GGAGCAAUUAGGGGUUGGGUGUCUUGCUCAGGGACACUUGAACAUGGGACAUGGAGCAGCCGGGUCUCGAACCACCAACCUUGUGGUUCCCGGCGCACCCUCUCUACCCCCACGUCACAAUACAGAAAGGGUAUAAAAGCUGCACAUGAUGAAGCUGCUGUCACCACGCUUGUCCCUUUCUGUGUUGGAGUCUGGCUGAAGAAUCCAAUGAGCUGGGGUGUUUGAGGCUGUCUGCAGAGUAGCAUCCCAGAUGGUGGGUCUGGUGACUGGGCCUUUCAUCUGCUCAUCCCAUUGUCUGUUGUGUUUGUCUGCAUUUUCUUUUAACAUCUCAUGCCUUGAUUUUAUAUUGUUUUUGUGGAGAAACCAAGUCUGUGAGCGCCCUGUGCCAGAGCCUGUCCCUGUUCUCACCCCGGUGCGGCCUAGUCAUCAGUAG
Molecule: long non-coding RNA, 433 nt
Organism: Gasterosteus aculeatus aculeatus (three-spined stickleback)
Lineage: Eukaryota; Metazoa; Chordata; Actinopteri; Perciformes; Gasterosteidae
Source: Ensembl